Molecule: ribosomal RNA, 490 nt
Filed under: uncultured bacterium
Lineage: Bacteria
Description: partial 16S ribosomal RNA
Rfam family: Bacterial small subunit ribosomal RNA
Source: RNAcentral
AUUGAACGCUGGCGGCAGGCCUAACACAUGCAAGUCGAACGGUAACAGAAAGCAGCUUGCUGCUUUGCUGACGAGUGGCGGACGGGUGAGUAAUGUCUGGGAAACUGCCUGAUGGAGGGGGAUAACUACUGGAAACGGUAGCUAAUACCGCAUAACGUCGCAAGACCAAAGAGGGGGACCUUCGGGCCUCUUGCCAUCGGAUGUGCCCAGAUGGGAUUAGCUAGUAGGUGGGGUAAAGGCUCACCUAGGCGACGAUCCCUAGCUGGUCUGAGAGGAUGACCAGCCACACUGGAACUGAGACACGGUCCAGACUCCUACGGGAGGCAGCAGUGGGGAAUAUUGCACAAUGGGCGCAAGCCUGAUGCAGCCAUGCCGCGUGUAUGAAGAAGGCCUUCGGGUUGUAAAGUACUUUAAGCGUGGAGGAAGGGAGUAAAGUUAAUACCUUUGCUCAUUGACGUCACCCGCAGAAGAAGCACCGGCUAACUCCGUG